GUUUUUAAGGUGUUAUACAUAUUACAUUUUCGCUGUAAGUUGAGAGUUUAUUCUAAAAAUG
RNAcentral lists this transfer RNA (61 nucleotides) under Procambarus fallax (deceitful crayfish). Its description in RNAcentral is "tRNA-Glu". Lineage: Eukaryota; Metazoa; Arthropoda; Malacostraca; Decapoda; Cambaridae. The record is from RNAcentral.